GACGAACGCUGGCGGCGUGCUUAACACAUGCAAGUCGAGCGGUAAGGCCCUUUCGGGGGUACACGAGCGGCGAACGGGUGAGUAACACGUGGGUGACCUGCCCUCAGCUCUGGGAUAAGCCUGGGAAACCGGGUCUAAUACUGGAUAUGACUCCAUGACGCAUGUUGUGGGGUGGAAAGCCUUGUGCGGCUGAGGAUGGGCCUGCGGCCUAUCAGCUUGUUGGUGGGGUGAUGGCCUACCAAGGCGACGACGGGUAGCCGGCCCGAGAGGGCGACCGGCCACACUGGGACUGAGACACGGCCCAGACUCCUACGGGAGGCAGCAGUGGGGAAUCUUGCGCAAUGGGCGAAAGCCUGACGCAGCGACGCCGCGUGAGGGAUGACGGCCUGG
RNAcentral lists this ribosomal RNA (390 nucleotides) under uncultured bacterium. RNAcentral's name for it is "bacterial SSU rRNA". It matches the Rfam family "Bacterial small subunit ribosomal RNA", at positions 28 to 419 of the family's 1533-position model. The record is from RNAcentral.